This 2323-nucleotide long non-coding RNA is filed under the name Lytechinus variegatus (green sea urchin). RNAcentral describes it as "uncharacterized LOC121405930". Lineage: Eukaryota; Metazoa; Echinodermata; Echinoidea; Temnopleuroida; Toxopneustidae. The record is from RNAcentral.
UUGCCAGGGUUUUUUUUAUUUCUUUAUCUUUUGUUCUUGGAUUUGGGAUUUUGUAUAUAACGACUCAUCGAUAUUAAACGAACCGAAACACAAGGAAUGGUGUCGUGUGUCAUCUUUCUACAUCAGUUUCCGCGUGUUACAAAGUGGCGUUGUCAGCAGGAUCGAUGUUCGUCGUUGGAUACAACCAUGUUCAAACCCUGACAAUCUGAGGAGCUCAUCCGUCUGUUGUACAUCUUAAAUUUCCCGACAUUCAUGUUGAUUAUUAACUCGCGCAUGUUCAACCCGGCCCGUGUCUGAGCAGAGAAGGCGUGGCAACUCCGUCAUGCAUGGCUAUCAAAAUACUCACCAGAACCAUGAGAACAGGAAUAAAGUGACUGUUUAUAGGCCUACACUGUAAGGGCAUCAAUCUGUAAUUGAUUGAUACAAUCUGAUUUUUUUUUAAUCGUUCGCUAGACUUGUACUUAACUUUUGUAUUAAACAUCCCCCACAUCAUCUUAAGACAUAUUUCUGGGUAUACUCUUAAUUCAUUUCAAACUGACCGUUUAUUUUAUUUUUUUUAAGUGUAAUGAUUUUCAAAUCUUAUAUAUACUUGGGUGGUUGAGCUCUGCUCUAAUGCUUCCAAUGAUAUGUUCUUGCUGACCAAGAUGGGUCUUGUUCUUUUUGUACAUGUAAUUUAUAUUGAUAUUUACUGCACAUUUGCACCACAUACAUACAUGAACACCCGUUCAAUCACUAGCAAAAGCACCUACACGACAAGCACCCUUGCAGUUGACCCCUUUCUUAGUUUAUGGUACUUUACAUUUUAUCAAUUUUGAUGGAGUCCCUCUCUUUUAUUCUUGAUAAUUACAUAGACAAUUCACAUGACAGCAAAUACUAUACACCUCAAGAAUUUAAUAAUAUGUUUGAUAGUAAUUCCGAUCAUAUUUCCCUUUUACAUGCAAAUUUAAGAAGUCUCAAUAGAAACUUCGAAUAUUUUGAAAAUCUCUUACACACAUUAAAUAAUUUGAAAUUUUCUGUUAUAGGUAUUAGCGAGACAUGGUUGCAUGAUAAUUCCCCAAAUUUGUUUAAUUUACCAAAUUAUAAGUUGAUAAGGGCAGACCGCAAAGGAAAAAGAGGCGGAGGCGUGGCCUUCUAUAUUAUUGAUAAACUAAAAUUUAAGAUCCGUUCCGAUGUGAAACUCUUGCAUGCAGAGGCUUUGUUCAUUGAAAUUGAAAACACAGGAUUUAAAAAUAUCAUCAUAGGUUUGAUUUAUAGAUCACCAGGCUCUAAUCUUGAUUUGUUUUGUAAGGAGCUAGAGCAAUAUUUAUAUGCAAUAGGUAAUGAAAAUAAACAUACUUUUAUUUUUGGUGAUUUUAAUAUCAAUUUCCUACCCGCGGUCGACAGUGAUCACUCAAUCAAUUUUAUGAAACUAAUGUACUCAUUCGGCUUCCAUUCAUUCAUCAAUAAAUCCACUAGAAUCAACCCAAAUUCAUCUACUCAAAUUGACAAUAUUUUUUCCAACGUACAUAGCAACAUGAAUAAUAAAAUGGUAGGAGGAAUUCUAUGCUCUGAAGUUUCAGACCACCUACCAAUAUUUUUAACUUGUGAAAUGAAAUAACCGUGCCCCAAAUCAAUUAACCAACGCUCAUAUCGAAAAGAAUCUAAACGUAAUAUUGAAUUAAUGAAGCAAGACUUAUUACUUGAGGGGUGGGAGGAUGUCUAUAAUGAAACUGACGCAAACACAUCGUAUAAUCUCUUAAAUAAUAAAUUACAACAUUAUUAUGAAAAGAAUAUUCCCAUAGGAAAAGUAAAAAAUAAUCGAAAAACACCCAAACAACAAUGGAUAACAAAAGGUUUAUUAAAAUCAAUACAGACACGUAAUUGCCUUUACAAGUCACAUUUACGCAAUCCUACUGAAGCCAAUUUUAAAAAAUACAAAGUAUAUCGCAACAAGUUAACAAAAUUAAUUCGUUUAUCACGUAAAAUGUAUUAUACUAAUAGAAUAAAAGAUGCCAGUUCAAACACUUAUACUACCUGGAAAAUCAUCAAAGAACUAAUGGGAACAAGUGCAGAUCCCCCACCUACUGAUGACAUGACUUUAAAUGGUUCCAAAGUUGACUCUUCCCUUCAUGCAAACUCAUUCAAUUCAUUUUUCACAAAUAUCGGACCCGAACUUGCAAGCAAGAUCAAUAGCCAAAAUGCGCAUUUCACAGAUUACCUCCCCGAACCUAAUCCACAUUCAUUUUUCCUGAACCCGACGAACCCCACAGAAAUUCUGAACAUUACACGGUCUCUUAAUAGCUCCAAAUCUCAUGGGCAUGAUAAAAUUAGUAUGUCUCUUUUA